AUUUUUCUAUAAGUAUUUAAACUAAUUUGUAUAAUUUUUCUAUAAGUAUUUAACUAAUUUGUACUAAUUUCUCUAAGUAUUUAAACUAAUUUGUAUAAUUUUCCUAGGUAUUUAAACUACUAAUUUGUACUAAUUUUUCUAAGUAUUUAAACUAAUUUGUACAACUUUUCUAAGUAUUUAAACUAGUUUGUACUAAUUUUCUAAGUAUUAAAAGUAAUUAUACAAAUUACACAUUAAAAAUAGUAAAAAAAAAUAGCGCAUGCAGUAGCAAGCCCCGUUUGUUGGGGCGGCCUAGGGGCGCGCCCGUACUGGCAAGCGGGCGGACGGCGAGGUGGGCACGGAUGGCAGGAUGGCGACCAGGUGUAACAACCUAGCUUAAUUAAGCCAUGUUUAAAACCUAAAUAAACUCAUUAGCUCAUAAAGGAGAACUUUGACAGUAGUAAAGGCAAGUGAAAGGUCACUUUUGCCCUCCCAAGAUAAACCGUUGUUUAAAUAGUAACUAUUUCUCCUUAAAAACAUAAAAAUCUGUCCAACUAAGAGUUGUAGAACUCAACUUUCCUGACAACUUUUAGUUUUGGUGUUUUGCUUGAAUCUAAGCAGAAGCCCUUCAAAAACUUAAAGUACAAAUCUAUGUUAAUUUUAAGAAGAACAGAUUAAGUCCUGGCUUUGGGGCUCUGUAUUUUGAAAUUUCUAAUAGAAACUCAAGCUGAGCUCUAUAACAAAGUUUUAGACCUUCGAGACCUUAACAACUUUGAUUUAAGAAGUAAGUUCUAAUAUGCCUCGAAAGCCUUCAAAACCCCGGUCAAAGCCAACUAGUUC
This 819-nucleotide long non-coding RNA is filed under the name Setaria viridis. RNAcentral's name for it is "long non-coding RNA (SVIR_LNC009179)". The record is from RNAcentral. Lineage: Eukaryota; Viridiplantae; Streptophyta; Magnoliopsida; Poales; Poaceae.